Molecule: long non-coding RNA, 1039 nt
Organism: Astatotilapia calliptera (eastern happy)
Lineage: Eukaryota; Metazoa; Chordata; Actinopteri; Cichliformes; Cichlidae
Source: Ensembl
UGGAGAAGUGGAGAAAAGAACACUUGAAGGCUAUUUGGGCCCUGAAAGAGCUGCUGGACACUGCCGAAGCCAAACUCAAUGCUCCUGUUCAAGUCUCUUUCCUCAGUGUUAGGGCUUUUCUUCAGGAUGUGGAGGUGAGGAAAGCAAACUGUCAGUUUAACUAUCAAAUGUAAAAGAUAAUAUAGCCUGACAGUAAAAAUACAACCUGUCAGUAAUGUUUUUUUAAGCUGGUGGCAUUGCAGCAUCAUGAUACUUUAGAUUUUCAAUGGGCACCUACACUUACAUACAUACUGUACUUUAUAUUAGACCAUCCCUGAUCACAUCGCUUAGAGUUUGUUUCAAAUCUGUUCUUUCUUAAGCUGGUCGAGAAUGACAAGCCUGACUCUGAAGUGGACCUAAUAUGCAUUUUCUUUUCUUUCUUUCUUUUCCUGUUGUGUUUAUUUGCUGUUACUCAUGGUGGAUACUCAUGUUAAACAUGGCCAAAGUUUCAAAUAUGGAACUAGAUGGAGUUUUUUUUUUUUACUCUUAGCUUUAUGUGAUUUCAAAGAGAAUGGUCAUCACAGCUCUUUUUAGGAACACAGCUGCCCCACACACCAACAGCAGGUGAAACGUAACUGUUUCAAGUCCUUCCAAGCCAUUUUCAGACAUGUAAACUCUCUUUUCCAUGUUAAAGAGGGACUUUUAACAGGACUCUGUGUCAUCCUGUUAUAAGCUAACUUUAGCAGCAAUAAAUUGAAGUAAUUGUUUGUGGUGUGUAUUUGUCGGUACACCUUUUAAGGUCCCAACACGGCAUUUCAGUGGGGUUGUGUUCUGUUCCUUGGGCCAUUAGAACAGUUUCUUUUUCAGUCCUUUUAUUUUAGAUUUGUUGCUGUGCUUGGGGAUCAUUGUCCUGUUGCAUGAGCCAAGAAUGUGUUACUCAGAGGAAUUCAGGGUUGACUUAAUGGCUAUAAGGUGCCCAGAUCCUGUGGCUGUAAAAUGCACGCCCAAAUCAUUCCUCUUCCACCACACUUAAUAGCUGGUGUCAGGUGUUUUGCUUGCA